GACGAACGCUGGCGGCGUGCUUAACACAUGCAAGUCGAACGGAAAGGCCCUGCUUUUGUGGGGUGCUCGAGUGGCGAACGGGUGAGUAACACGUGAGUAACCUGCCCUUGACUUUGGGAUAACUUCAGGAAACUGGGGCUAAUACCGGAUAGGAGCUCCUGCUGCAUGGUGGGGGUUGGAAAGUUUCGGCGGUUGGGGAUGGACUCGCGGCUUAUCAGCUUGUUGGUGGGGUAGUGGCUUACCAAGGCUUUGACGGGUAGCCGGCCUGAGAGGGUGACCGGCCACAUUGGGACUGAGAGACGGCCCAGACUCCUACGGGAGGCAGCAGUGGGGAAUAUUGCACAAUGGGCGGAAGCCUGAUGCAGCAACGCCGCGUGCGGGAUGACGGCCUUCGGGUGGUAAACCGCUGUCGCCUGUGACGAAGCGUGAGUGACGGUAAUGGGUAAAGAAGCACCGGCUAACUACGUG
This 468-nucleotide ribosomal RNA is filed under the name uncultured bacterium. RNAcentral describes it as "partial 16S ribosomal RNA". It matches the Rfam family "Bacterial small subunit ribosomal RNA", at positions 28 to 507 of the family's 1533-position model. The record is from RNAcentral.